Molecule: long non-coding RNA, 347 nt
Filed under: Sarcophilus harrisii (Tasmanian devil)
Lineage: Eukaryota; Metazoa; Chordata; Mammalia; Dasyuromorphia; Dasyuridae
Description: lncRNA (ENSSHAG00000024725.1)
Source: RNAcentral
GGAAAUUUGUACUUCAGUUUACUUUAUUUUGACUGUAUCAAUACCAGACUCACAAAGGAAGAAGAAUUCUUUUUGGACAGAAGAGAAAAGAGCAAAAUGGCUGAGGGAGCUGAGAGCCAAAAGAAGUUUGGAGAUAAUAAGCAAGCAGUAAGCUGCCUUUGAUGAAUUCAAAUCACCAGAGAGUAUAUUCUAGAUGCUUGCCUUCUCUAAUAUGGGGUUGGAAGGGAAGGAGGGAAAAAGGCAACUCAGAACUGAAAAAAGUAACGAAAAGAAAGACUGUGGGUGAAUGAGAAACACAGUGGGACUGGAAAGAGACAAAAGUUGCCCCAGUCUUCACAAAAAGGAAA